Molecule: unclassified non-coding RNA, 117 nt
Organism: Macaca mulatta (Rhesus monkey)
Lineage: Eukaryota; Metazoa; Chordata; Mammalia; Primates; Cercopithecidae
Rfam family: Metazoan signal recognition particle RNA
About the family: The signal recognition particle (SRP) is a universally conserved ribonucleoprotein. It is involved in the co-translational targeting of proteins to membranes.
Source: Ensembl
GCUGGGUGCGGUGGCUCACACCUGUAAUCCCAGCACCUUGGGAGGCCGAGGCAGGCGGAUCACCUGAGGUCAGGAGUUUGAGACCAGCCUGGCCAACACGGUGAAACCCUGUCUCUA